RNAcentral lists this ribosomal RNA (433 nucleotides) under uncultured bacterium. Its description in RNAcentral is "partial 16S ribosomal RNA". It matches the Rfam family "Bacterial small subunit ribosomal RNA", at positions 29 to 507 of the family's 1533-position model. The record is from RNAcentral.
AACGAACGCUGGCGGCAUGCCUAACACAUGCAAGUCGAACGAGACCUUCGGGUCUAGUGGCGCACGGGUGCGUAACGCGUGGGAACCUGCCCUUAGGUUCGGAAUAACUCCCCGAAAGGGGUGCUAAUACCGGAUAAUGUCUUCGGACCAAAGAUUUAUCGCCUUUGGAUGGGCCCGGGUUGGAUUAGCUAGUUGGUAGUGUAAAAGCCUACCAAGGCGACGAUCCAUAGCUGGUCUGAGAGGAUGAUCAGCCACACUGGGACUGAGACACGGCCCAGACUCCUACGGGAGGCAGCAGUGGGGAAUAUUGGACGAGGGACGAUAGCCUGAUCCAGCAAUGCCGCGUGAGUGAUGAAGGCCUUAGGGUUGUAAAUCUCUUUUACCCGGGAUGAUAAUGACAGUACCGGGAGAAUAAGCUCCGGCUAACUCCGUG